CCAAUAGCGUAUAUUAAAGUUGUUGCAGUUAAAAAGCUCGUAGUUGAACUUCGGAAUUUGCCCAUUGGUCAGGCUUAACUGUCUGAACUGGUGUGACGAGUUCCUACCUUCUGAGGAAUCUUCAUGCCAUUCAGUUGGUGUGGGGGGAAAUCAGGACUGUUACUUUGAAAAAAUUAGAGUGUUUAAAGCAGGCAUCCGUCUGAAUACAUUAGCAUGGAAUAAUAAAAUAGGACGGUUUGGUUCUAUUUUGUUGGUUUCUAGGAUCACCGUAAUGAUUAAUAGGGAUAGUUGGGGGCAUUAGUAUUCAAUUGUCAGAGGUGAAAUUCUUGGAUUUAUUGAAGACUAACUACUGCGAAAGCAUUUGCCAAGGAUGUUUUCAUUAAUCAAGAACGAAAGUUAGGGGAUCGAAGACGAUCAGAUACCGUCGUAGUCUUAACCAUAAACUAUGCCGACUAGGGAUCGGACGAAGUUAAUUUUUAAAUGACUCGUUCGGCACCUUACG
This 502-nucleotide non-coding RNA is filed under the name uncultured Glomeromycotina. RNAcentral's name for it is "partial small subunit ribosomal RNA". It matches the Rfam family "Eukaryotic small subunit ribosomal RNA", at positions 591 to 1092 of the family's 1831-position model. Lineage: Eukaryota; Fungi; Glomeromycota. RNAcentral also lists the same sequence under 1 other name. The record is from RNAcentral.